Felis catus (domestic cat) is the source of this 4415-nucleotide long non-coding RNA. RefSeq lists it as uncharacterized. The transcript has 2 exons. The record is from RefSeq and is a predicted model, not a curated record. Lineage: Eukaryota; Metazoa; Chordata; Mammalia; Carnivora; Felidae.
CCUAUAUAGGAAGAGUUCAUUAUUGUAACAGCAAUCCAAAAAAAUAACACCUGAAAACACAAACUCAUAAAUAGGAACGUCAGAUCAAAGCAUAUACUUAGAAUUAAUUACAUACUGGAAGGUAGAAUAAGAAUCUCAAAUAAUGAUGUGAACCCUAUUUUCUAAGUGCCCUAUCUAUGGCUGGUCUUUGGAUUUAGGUAGCUAGAGUAACAAGUUUGGAUGUUAUUUUCCUUGAUUCCUUUUGAAGUGUUUGAACAAAUGCCAAUUUGGAACUGGCAACAAUACAAAUUAAGUCAUUUGCUUAUUUCUGCUUCUCAGAUCAGGAAAAGAAAGGCUCAAGAAUAUGGAAGAGGACAUAUUUCAUAUCUGCAUUAACAGUUACACUAUUGAGAUGAAGAGGUCAUUCAGCUAACUACUGAUUUUAAUGGAACCAUAACUCUGACUUUUGACAACCAGCACAAUCCACAGAUUAUACUUUUUUCCCCAGAAAUUCUAAAUUCAAAACACAAUAUGGUUUUAAAACUACAGUUCAAAACAGACACCCUAAGUCCUUUUUUAAAAGGGGAAAAUAUGUUUAACAGCAAUUUACAGUAAUAAUAUUUUUAGGAAAAGAAAAAAUCUUUGCCUAGAUGAUAUUAUACAAUUUUAUUUUUUAAUUUUCUUAGAUCUUAGCAAAUAUUCCCCAACAAAUUGCUGUUGUAGUCUACAAAAUGGUACCUCCAUACGAAGAAGUGCAGGCACAAGUGUAGUCUUCAAAACCACGGUACUUUAAAGAUAUAGUGAAUUCCCUAUUCAAGCUUGCACCUAGGUGUGGCUGCAUGCCCUCUCCACACACAUUCAGUUUGGGUUUCCUCAUAUUCACACUUUUCUAAGGGCUUUAACAGCAUCAGCACCUGUCAGCUUGUGACAUUUUUCCACCAAUCUUGGUAUUUACCAUGAGCCACUCCACCCAUUAACUACUGCACAGACACCUGUCAGCAAGACCACAACAGGUCUAUAGGUAGAAGGGGAACAAAAUAACCAAUGCACCAAGAUAAGAAAACUAUACGAAACUGGAAACCAGAAAAUUCAAGUUCCAUAAAAUAACUCAGGAAUACAAAACAUCCUUCUUAAAUUUGCAACAUGGGGUUUAGUACACACACAAAAUACAUUUUAAAUUCUAUCUUACAUAACAAAUGGGUUGCAGAAGACUACCUAUAAUUUUUAAAUUUCUGAUUAUGUAUUAUUUCAAGUGAAAUAACCUGCUUCCCAAAAUGUACAGCUGUAGUUCAAACCAAUAAGCUUAUACUUGAAGGGCUAUGGAUAAAAGGAAUUUUUUUCUAAAGUGGAACAGAGCUUUAGGGGCGCCUGGGUAGCUCAGUUGGUUAAGCGUCUGACUUUGGAGCAGGUCACGAUCUCGCAGUUCGUGGGUUCAAGCUUCACGUGCUUGUGCUGUGAAGCACAAGCUUCAAGCUGUUCAGCUUCUGUGCUGAUAGCUCAGAGCCUGGAGCCUGCUUCAGAUUCUGUGUCUCCCUCCCUCUCUCUCUGCCCCUCCCCUGCUUAUGCAUGCUCUCUCUCAAAAAUAAAUAAAUAAACCUUAAAACAACAACAACAACAACAACAACUCUAGGGUCCCCUUAGUGGCUCGGUCAGUUUAAGCGUCCAACCUUGGCUCAGGUCAUGGUCUUGUGGUUCAUGAGUUCAAGCCCCACAUCAGGCUCUCUGCUGUCAGCACGGAGCUUGCUUCAGAUACUCUGUCUCCCUCCCUCUCUGCCCCUCCUCUGUGCACAUGUGCUCACACCCCCCUCAAAAAUAAAUAUUAAGAAAAAAAACCCUCUAAACAAACCCCGCUUAAAAAUGCAAAUUAUCAUCACCUAAUUCUAUUUUGCACAAAUUUCCCCUAUAUGAUUCUAAUUACUAACACUGACUUUAUUAUUUUAAAAAAUGUCUUCAUCAGUAAAUGAUUUAAAAGAAAAACACAUAGAUAUCAAGAAUAAUGCAUGUUUUCUACUGACAUUCAAGCAAUGCAGGAUUUUAAGUGUGAGUAGUGAGUUCUCUAAAGGCAGCAUCAUUCAGGUAUUUACACUAUUAAACACAAAAUAUAAAGAUGGGUAUGCCAAAUAAGAGGACUGCAGAUGCUGAGGGAGCAUGGUGAAGCAUAAACAAGAUGCCCUGCUGCUUCUAAUAAGAAAGAAUUACUGACAGAUAGAAAAUAGAUGAAUUCCAGACAUAAUGUUGAGUGAAAGAGCCAAAAACAAAACAGGACAUGUGUAGGUUCCAUUUACCUUAAUUAAGAACAGGUAAAAAUAAUCUAUUGUGAAAGAAAUCGGAUUAGUGAUUACUGUUGGGUCAGGGAGAGUACUGACUGGAAGCAUACAAAAGAAAACCUGGGGUGCUGGAAAUGGUCUACAUCUCAAUUUGGAUAGAGGUAACAUAAGUGUAUGCACAUGUAAAAAUCCAUCGAGCUGUGCACUAAAGAUUUAUGCACUUUAUGUCAUAGAUCUGUUAUUCCUGUUUUGCUUUUUGGGGUCAUCUUUUCCUAGGACAAAGACGUCCUUGAAGAAAACUAUUCAAUCUUUUUCUAAUCCCCAAAGAGAGGAAAACCAUAAAGAUCUACUAAAAUUAAAAGUCACUUGGCUUUUCUUCAAAAUUAAGAAAAAACAAAAAACAAAAACAAACCACCACUGAAGAUUUCUGAAAGAGUAAGACACAACGAAAUGGAAACAAAAAAGUCCGACCACCAAACUCAAAGCAAGAAAACAAUGCCUAUGCCCAUCUGCAGAGAUGUUCAAUUGACUGAUCUCAGACAAAAGAACAGGUCUUCUAGGAACCAAUGGCAACUAGCUAAUCAGCAACAUCUGUAAUUGUUUCUGGAAUCCCAAAGUUUCCUAAUCUCUUAAUUACACUGUCUUAUUUAAAUAAUUAGAAGAAGAACUGGGUCAAAAAAUCCAAGAUUAGGAAUAAUGUACCUAAAAGAUAAAUGGCCUUAAUCCUAGUAGUUUUUAAACUUAAAGAAACUUGAAGACUGCUUCUCAUAGGAUAUUCUGCAGGAACAGAUUAAGAAAAAUAUUCCAGUCUUCUGAAGUCGUCAUAUCAGAUAGAAUCACACUAUAGGCGAAGAAAACUUAACCUCUAGGAAUGAUUCAGUGACUUCUUUGGACACAUUCUUUGUAUAAGAAUAUUUGAUACAAAUCAAAUGAUUUAAAUGCAAAUAUGAGAUUGUCCAAAUUUUCUGUCAUUAACAGAACUUAAUAUGAUGCCCUAUUGAUGGAGAACCAGAAAUGCAAGUAGCAAUUCUGAAGAAGGGCACACUGGGAAGAAAAGCAAAGGGAGCCUUCUCACCUGGUGUUUGUUUCUCACCAUGUUUCCCCAGCUGGUCUUCUGGGCUUCUUGCAUUCCCUCCUGAGGGAAAGCAUCCAUUAGAUUUGUAGACUCUCUUCAGAUAUUGGUGAUACCUAUUAAGCACCUUUCAGACAACCCCAAAUGCUAACAAAUCCAAGUAUUCCACCUUUUGCCUAAAAUAAUCCAGAAGGGUCAUUCAUAAAUAGCAAGUUGUUUCCCUUUCCGUUCAGGUGAUGAUAGAAUAUCAACACCUAGAUGCUGUGCCUUCAAAUAGCUCUGAACAUCAACUAUGAAGGUGCCUAAAUGAGGAAUGGUUAGGAUAAUCAUCUUGAACUGCCUACUUUAUUGUUCCUCCUACUCAAGCCGAUGUCUCCAGCUCCUAAGUAUCAGCUACCUCUCUACCAUCACUCCUGAGGCUCUUGCCCCCUCUGAUGAACCUCAACAUGCCCACUUCUCAGAUGAUAGCUUGUUACAGUGAAGUCUGCUCUAAUAAUUUAAGAAGAUAGUAUUUAAUCCGCUACCCCAAAGACCAUCAUUUCAUCUCUGUCACUAGCUCACCUUAUCAGAAACUCCAUUUCUGUCAACAAUUUUCAUUUGGAAGUCUGCCUGCUAACAACUCCACAGGAAGAGUAAGUAUGUUUUAAAUCCUUCUGAUUUUAUAGGCUGUUUUGCACAUACUUGCUGAUACUGACCAAAAACAGCAACACUCAAUAAUGAACAAUUACAUUGUUCAAAAUAAGAUACCAAGAUGUCAGAGCCAAGUAAGAUGAACCACCUAGUGACCCAAGAAUGGAAUCUAGAAAAGAUGAAACCCAUCAGGAAACUGGUCCCUAAGUAAAACCAAGCAAACCUAAGUCUCAGUAUACUUGUUCUUACCUGUAAUUGGAAUCAGUUUCCAAUGUAUUUCAGUCUCUUCAACAUCAUUUGACUUAGAUUGUCUGCGGAAUCCAUGUUCAAUGGGAACAGUGGGACACAAACUGCAAUCUUCAAAAUUAUUCAUGCUAAUUAAAUUUGGAUCCUAAAAAUUAGAGUACACAUUCAAUAGCUUUCUUUUCAAUUAAUCUUUAUGUCAAGAAUAAACAACUAUUUUCUUU